This is a long non-coding RNA of Nyctereutes procyonoides (raccoon dog), 3924 nucleotides long. RefSeq lists it as uncharacterized. NCBI's taxonomy places the organism in Eukaryota, Metazoa, Chordata, Mammalia, Carnivora, Canidae. The record is from RefSeq and is a predicted model, not a curated record. The transcript has 3 exons.
CUGCUCCCUUCUUCACAAGACUGCGAGGCUAGAUGACACCACUAGGCAGUGACAGACUGAGACUUCAGCUCUUCUGACUCAAAGUCCACAUGUGGAAAGAGGUUCUGAAAGUACUUCUCUCUCCAGAGGCAGAAGAUCCUCGAGCCCCCAAAGGACUGGGAGUGUCUCUAAAACGUACACUUUGAUACUGGUUUUGAAAAACAAAUUCAUAGGGAAAUCGAUUUUGAAGGGAUCUGGAAAAAAGUAGCAAGCUUUACACCAAGCAUGGGGCUUGAACUCACAGCCUGGUGAUCAAGAGUCCCACACACUCUACUGACUGAGCCAGCCAGGAGACCUAGGGUCUUUAUUUUUUAAGCAAUCUCUACACCCAACGUGGGGCAUGAAUUCAUGACCCUGAGAUCAAGAGUCAUAUGCCUUACUGACUGAGCCAGCGAGGCCACCGGAAAAAGAAUAAUUUCUGAGUGAGUUUUGAAUGAGACCCAGAAUUUCAGCUUUUGACAUCACACAUCACCAAUCUCAAGAAGUUCUGUCCUCUGUGCUAAUAUGUUGAUGAAACACAAUAUGUGUUCCUCUAAUCUGUCAGAAAAUUUUUGGUAAAUAUAGAAAUAAUACAGGAGAUGCAAAAUUUUAUUCAUAGACAUUAGGAAAAAGUGAGAGGCUCAAAAAGAGGAAUGAAAAUAAUUGCAUAUAAAAAAAAAAAUCUUGAGCCAGAAGAAAAGCUUAGAACUAGCUCAAAGGAAAGUGGCCAGACUUCAGUUCAGGAAAGGGAGGAGACCUUCUGGGUAUAUGGCUUCCCAGUAUAGGGAGAUUAGCCCAUAAACUGUAUUAAAACGUCCAUUCUAGGGGCGCCUGCGUGGCUCAGUGGUUGAGCUCAUCAUUUGGCUCACGGUGUGAUCCUGGUGUCCUGGGAUCAAGCCCCACAUCAGGCUCCCUGCAAGGAGUCUGCUUCUCCCUCACCUUCUGCCCUUCCUCCCUGCUCCCAGGACCCUGGGAUCAUGACCUGAGCCAAAGGCAGAUGCUUCACUGACUAAGCCACCCAGGCACCCCUAGAGUGAACCUUUUAAUUGAGCCAGGAAAAGGUUCUUCAGUCAUUGAUCACUAAACCCAUCAGUUACUUCCCGUCUGUGUGGUAGGAUGAAAACAGAUAUGUUUCUCAGUAAAAUGAAAUGUGGUAACCAGGUGAGCAGCCCAGAAAGUGAGCCAGAGUAUUGAAAAUGGAAAACACAUAAGUCAAGCUCUCAAAGUAGUCGAGGCCAAGGGUGCUUUUUGAGGGCUAAGAAAAUGUGGUGGGGGUUAUGAGACUGUAUAUAAUUAACCAAACUCAUAAACUGUAUACUUAAAAUAGGUGAAUUCUAUUGUACAUGAGUUAUAUUACAAUAAAGCUAAAUAAUAAAGAAGCUGACUGAGGUAAUACAAGCAGGUCCCUAGGAGAGACCACCUGGAUGCUGGGGAGAAUAUACAGAGAAUCCCCUCACUCAUGGAGGGUUAGAAACUGCCUUGCCUGCCACUGAGUGUCUGCAUGUCAGCAAAUAAACCAGGAGGCAGAGCUUGGCUAGGGAGACCCUCAAGUGGCCCAGGGCCUGAGAAAAGUCAGCAAAGAUGGUAUCAGAGCACCUGAAACCAAGAAAAGUCAUCCUUAAGCUGUAUAAUUUCAUUUCAUUUCAUUUCACUUCAUUUUUAAAGCCAUAUAACUUUAAUCCUAUCUUAACAUUUGUAUCUUUUAUGAAACAUUUCACAUAUGCUAUUUCACUUCAGUCAGCACAAAAACCUGCUGAGUGAACAAUGCAAAUACUACCUGUCUAUUACACAAAGAAACUGUGAGCAGUAGGGCUGGUGUCGGGACAUGUGCCAGGUACCAAUUGAUUGCCUCUCGGCUUCAAAUUCAUCGUCCAGUCCCUGAGGGAAGAUUUCCAAGUUCCAGCAGCACAGCAACUUCUGCUAAUGUCAGUUUUCCCCCAGUGAGGCCUGGAUCCCAGAGAAGAGGACAUUCCUUAGGCGCUCUUCCUUGGCACCCAGGGAAGCACAGAGAACUCGAACGAGUGCAGUCGAAGGAGCCACUCCUGUUCCACUAGCUGAAACACAGCGUUCAGGGCAGACCCAUCUGUGUUGAGAUCUGGACUUUGUUGGAGAGGGCAUGCUAGGAGCAGGGAAGUGCCUUGGUGCUGCAUCCAGGGAACUUGCUGGAAAUCCCUCUGGAGCUUAUCUGAAAUCCACCCUCGAGGGUGCCAGAGGACUCUCUUCUCUGGAAGGUGUGUCCUAGAGACCAGACCCAUUCUAUUGCAAUAUUGCCCCUGGGGUGGGGGAGGGUACGUGGGGGUCCCUGGGAACCUUUAGCUGCUGGGUUCUGACGAUCUCUGUCUGCACACCUCCCUCACCAGCACUUACUGGGUAUUAACAGGAAAACUAGGAAUGUAGUUUACUCAGCAAAAUCUCCUUCUACGUAUUAUCUGCCAGGACAGCUGUUGUGCUAACUGGUUGCCACUCCAGUGACCUUGGGGUGCGUUGAUACCUGUGCACCUGUGUGCUUGCAGAGAAAGACACCUGAUCUCCUUUAGAAGAUCACCAAGUUUUUCCCUCUAAGGAGUAGGAUGAAUAGUUCGUUUUAAAUCAGAUUGUCCUUUCAGUCCCCUGCAGAGUGGAGUUUAUUAUUAUGCCCAAGAGACUAGAUCCAAAUUGACCAGAGGCUGUCAGGAAAUUAGAAGCCCUUCAUCUUAGACUCCAGUUAUCUUAGUUAGGCACUGUGCUGCCAGUAGGAACGUUGCGUGGGACUCUCUAGGCUUGGGGGACCCCUAGAACGCUCAUCAUCCUAGGUUAGGCUGCCAUAUGAGAAAAUGGUGGAGAGUAUGAACUCUUCAUACUCUCUCUGCUCCUAAAUUUUCUAAUAUGAGAAUGUCAAGAGUUCAGAAUUUAUUUUCUAGAUCACCGGGUUAUACUUAGAAACAAAGAUUCACCAGCUUUUUUCCUGAAAAUCUCUUUAAAGGUAAAUGUACCACCUAAAAGGUAUUCUUGCUCCAAAAUUGAAUCCGAAUUGAAAACCUAUUGCCAGUUUAAGGAAGUACUAGAAAUAGAGAAAUAUGUUAAACACCAUGGGAAUGCCAUCAGCAAAAUCCAAAGUAUAGGAAAUUCUACAAGACAAAUAAUCGAUUUUUUUUCCCAACCACUAAAUGGCAAGUUAAAAAGCUAUCAGGAAGGAUUUGUAGAAUAUAAGAAAAGAUAUUAACAAAUGCAAAACUUGUGGAUCUUGUUUGAAUUAACCAACUAUAAAAAAGUAAUAAGGGAAAUGUGAACACUGUAUUUUAUGAUGUUAAGACAUAGGUAUAAUAAUGGUAUUGUGGUUGAGAUACUAACUCCUACCAGUGAGAAUGGUGAAAAUUAACAAGGCAGGAAACAACAAAUGUUGGAGAGGAUGAAGAGAAAGAGGAACCCUCUUGCACUGUUGGUGGGAAUGUGAACUGGUGCAGCCACUCUGGAAAACUGUGUGGAGGUUCCUCAUAGAGUUAAAAAUAGAUCUGCUCCACGACCCAGCAAUUGCACUGCUGGGGAUUUGCCCCAAAGCUGCAGAUGGAGUGAAACACUGGGACACCUGCACUUCAAUCUUCAUGGCAGCCAUGUCCACAAUAGCCAAACUAUGGAAGAAGCCACGAUGUCCUUUGACAGAUGAAUGGAUAAAGAAGAUGUGGUCUGUAUAUACCAUGGAAUAUUACUCAGCCAUGAGAAAGGACAAAUACCCACCAUUUGCUUCGACGUGGAUGGAACUGGAGGUUAUCAUGCUGAGUGAAGUCAGUUGAGGAAGGACAAUCAUCAUAUGGUUUCACUCAUACAGGGAAUAUAAGAAAUAGUGAAAGGGAUUAUAAAGGAAAGGAGGGAACUGGGUGGAAAAAUUAGGGAGAUAAACCACGAGAGACUCCUAACUCUAGGAAACAA